This 2237-nucleotide long non-coding RNA is filed under the name Sus scrofa (pig). Its description in RNAcentral is "lncRNA (ENSSSCG00030003328.1)". Lineage: Eukaryota; Metazoa; Chordata; Mammalia; Artiodactyla; Suidae. The record is from RNAcentral.
UUUUUCGGUCAUGACAAGCUGUGGCCUCACCAAGCAUACCUCACCCUGAAGUCUGGCUGGGAAGGAGAUCGCAGCGUGAUGGAGAGGAAACGCAUUUAUGUGCUCAGGAGGAAGACGAGAGAGAGAAAAGGAAGGUCAGGAGGGGGAGAAUCAAGAUGCCAAGGAGGGGCCAAGGCUGUCGAGCUCUCAGGAGGGGUUGCCCUUGGGCAGGUGGGGAUACCAGAAGCUGUGAGGACUCAGAGGUUAACUGCAUGGUUAGCCACUGCUGACAGCUCAGGAGACACUCCAGUGAAGGACCCUCAGGAUGCAACUCUUGGAUGCUGUAGGUCUCCUUGUCCUUUCUCCUGCUUGAGCCUUCUACCCUCUUGCUCACUCAGACUAAAGGAGAGAGGAAGAAUGUCCCCUCUGGCUCCUCCUCUCACAGGUCCAGGAAGGCAGGAGGGGCAGCCUGCCAACCCAGCACAUCAACCUUCCACUGGCAAAGGUCAGCCUGCCUGGAAUAAGGAAGUACCCACAGCCGGGAAAGGUAAAUCCAAACCCAAAAAUACAGAAACGAAGCAUCUCAAUCAACAGGGGCCUGCAGCAUCCUUGCAGAGUGCUGUUUAUGAGGCAAUAAGCCAUUUAAAUGCUCUGUUUUGGAACCCACAAGGUCUCCUUGAACAGCUUAUGAGGAGAUACUGCUAAUCAGAGCUCCAGAAGGACUGGAGAGCGAGACUGGGACACCACAGCCUUGGAGCUGCAGAUUUCCUCGGGGUUGGGGUGGGGAGGCUGCCGGGGGGAGCACCAGCACUGCAGAGGAGGCUACGAGGUGGGUGCCCUUGGGAAAGCCUCCAGGGUUCAGGCAGGGCAGCAUGAAGCAUGGGUACUAAAGGUCAAUCUUGUGCCCUCUGCAGAUUGUGAGGCAGAGAGACAUUUUUUUUUUUUUUUUUUUUUUUUUUUUUUUUUUUUUUUUUUUUUUGCUAUGGGCAGCAAGAGAGAGGGCUAUAGUAUGAUGGUUAAAAGCCUGGCAUGGGUCAUGAGCUUAAAUCCAGACUCUGCCAUCUGUCUGCUAUCUGACCAUGGUAAAUGUAGGUACUCUCUCUGUGACUCGGUUUGGUCACCUGUCAGAUGGGGAGGAGAGUAAUAAUAGGCCUGUCUUAUUGCAGUUUUGAUGCUUAAAUAAGAUAAUAUAUAUUAUGCACUUAGCAGGAAGCCUAGCACAUGGUAAGUGCUCAAAAAAAAAAAAUGAGCUAUUAUCAAGAAUGUUACCACCAUAACCAUCUCUUCCCAUCUAUCCUUUUCCCAGCUUCAAAGACAGCAAGGGUCCCUAGGGGAUUAACACAUAUUAACUGGACACCUAUGUCUGGGAAGGUGAUAUGACAACACAAAUUCCAGGUCCAGAUCAGCUCUCACAGCUGAUGGAGGGAAAGGGCAGAAGCUGGAGAGAGUAAAGCGGCUGAUGCCAAGUGAACCACCUGAAAAUGGCCUCACAGGAGGGCCAUUGGUUAGUGGUCCCUUCAGGGCAGCGCAUCGGGAACUCUCUGACAUAGGAACUGGCAAAGCUAGACAUGACCACACACCCUUUUGUAGAAGGCAAAAUAGUUGGGAGAGGGUCUCAGUUUUGAAUAUCUAUCAUCACCCAUAAGAAAUACAAUGUUCUCGGGAGUGCCCUUUGUGGCUCAGCAGAAAUGAAUCUGACUAGUAUCCAUGAGGACUUGAGUAUGAUUUCUGCCCUUGCUCGGUGGGUUAAGGAUCCAGCGUUGCUGUGAGCUGUGGCGCAGGUCACAGAUGUGGCUCGGAUCCUGUGUUACUGGGGCUGUGGUGUGGGCUGGCAGCUACAGCUCUGAUUAGAUUCCUAGCCUGGGAACCUCCAUAUGCCAUGGGUGCAGCCCUAAAAAGACAAGAAAGGGAGGAAGAAAGAAAUACAAUGCGCUGAUGUUAAAAUGAAGAUGUGGAUUUGGAGAACAGACUUGUGGUUGCCAAGAGGGAGGGGGAGGGGAAGGGAUGGACUGGGAAUUUGGGGUUAAUAGAUGCAACCUAUUGCCUUUGGAAUGGAUAAGCAAGGGGAUCCUGCUGUAUAGCACUGGGAACUAUGUCUAGUCACUUGUGAUGGAGCAUGAUAAUGGGAGACAAAAGAAUGUAUAUAUGUAUGUGUGACUGGGUCACUUUGCUGUACAGUAGAAAAUUGACAGAACACUGUAAAGCAGCUAUAAUGGAAAAAAAAUAAAAUCAUUAAAAAAAAAAGAUGUGGAGAAAAG